GACGUAGGGCGCGAGCGUUGUCCGGAUUUAUUGGGCGUAAAGAGCUCGUAGGCGGCUUGUCGCGUCGAAUGUGAAAACUCGGGGGCUCAACUCCGAGCUUGCAUUCGAUACGGGCAGGCUAGAGUUCGGUAGGGGAGACUGGAAUUCCUGGUGUAGCGGUGAAAUGCGCAGAUAUCAGGAGGAACACCGAUGGCGAAGGCAGGUCUCUGGGCCGAUACUGACGCUGAGGAGCGAAAGCGUGGGGAGCGAACAGG
RNAcentral lists this ribosomal RNA (254 nucleotides) under uncultured bacterium. RNAcentral describes it as "partial 16S ribosomal RNA". It matches the Rfam family "Bacterial small subunit ribosomal RNA", at positions 524 to 776 of the family's 1533-position model. The record is from RNAcentral.